AUUGAACGCUGGCGGCAUGCCUUACACAUGCAAGUCGAACGGCAGCGCGGACUUCGGUCUGGCGGCGAGUGGCGAACGGGUGAGUAAUACAUCGGAACGUACCCUGUUGUGGGGGGUAACUAGUCGAAAGAUUAGCUAAUACCGCAUACGACCUGAGGGUGAAAGUGGGGGACCGCAAGGCCUCACGCAGCAGGAGCGGCCGAUGUCUGAUUAGCUAGUUGGUGGGGUAAAGGCCCACCAAGGCGACGAUCAGUAGCUGGUCUGAGAGGACGAUCAGCCACACUGGGACUGAGACACGGCCCAGACUCCUACGGGAGGCAGCAGUGGGGAAUUUUGGACAAUGGGGGCAACCCUGAUCCAGCAAUGCUGCGUGUGUGAAGAAGGCCUUCGGGUUGUAAAGCACUUUUGUCCGGAAAGAAAUCGCGCUGGUUAAUACCUGGCGUGGAUGACGGUACCGGAAGAAUAAGCACCGGCUAACUACGUGCCAGCCGCCGCUGUAA
Molecule: ribosomal RNA, 500 nt
Filed under: uncultured bacterium
Lineage: Bacteria
Description: partial 16S ribosomal RNA
Rfam family: Bacterial small subunit ribosomal RNA
Source: RNAcentral